GGGGUCGUAGCUCAGUUGGUAGAGCGUCUCGUUCGCAAGGAAUUUCCAGGAAUUUGGCCUCA
RNAcentral lists this transfer RNA (62 nucleotides) under Verrucomicrobiota bacterium. RNAcentral describes it as "Verrucomicrobia bacterium (groundwater metagenome) tRNA-OTHER". The record is from RNAcentral. Lineage: Bacteria; Pseudomonadati; Verrucomicrobiota.